UUGGGUUGGCCAAAAAGUUCAUUGGGUCUUUCUAUACCAUCUUACAGAAAAACCUGAAUGAACUUUUUGCCAACCCA
Molecule: microRNA precursor, 77 nt
Filed under: Ovis aries (sheep)
Lineage: Eukaryota; Metazoa; Chordata; Mammalia; Artiodactyla; Bovidae
Description: miRNA (ENSOARG00000024664.1)
Source: RNAcentral